CCUACGGGAGGCUGCAGUGAGGAAUAUUGGUCAAUGGGCGCGAGCCUGAACCAGCCAAGUCGCGUGAGGGAAGACGGCCCUACGGGUUGUAAACCUCUUUUGCCGGGGAGCAACGGGCGCCACGUGUGGCGCCACUGAGAGUACCCGGAGAAAAAGCAUCGGCAAACUCGGUGCCAGCAGUCGCGGUAAUAGGGAGGAUGCGAGCGUUAUCGGGAUGUAUUGGGUUUAAAGGGUGCGUAGGCGGAGCGUUAAGUCAGUGGUCAAAUUGAGGGGCUCAACCCCUUCCCGCCAUUGAAACUGGCGCUCUUGAGUGGAAGAGAGGGAUGCGGAAUGCGUGGUGUAGCGGUGAAAUGCAUAGAUAUCACGCAGAACCCCGAUUGCGAAGGCAGCAUGCCGGCUUCCUACUGACGCUGAGGCGCGAAAGCGUGGGGAUCGAACAGGAUUAGAUACCCCAGUAGUC
Molecule: ribosomal RNA, 460 nt
Filed under: uncultured bacterium
Lineage: Bacteria
Description: partial 16S ribosomal RNA
Rfam family: Bacterial small subunit ribosomal RNA
Source: RNAcentral